This is a long non-coding RNA of Cephus cinctus (wheat stem sawfly), 452 nucleotides long. RefSeq lists it as uncharacterized. Lineage: Eukaryota; Metazoa; Arthropoda; Insecta; Hymenoptera; Cephidae. The transcript has 2 exons. The record is from RefSeq and is a predicted model, not a curated record.
UUGUCAAAUAAAGCUUAGUUCUUAUCCUUUUCAAGUCAAAGUAAAUACGAAAGAUAUAAAGGGGUCUUAAAAAUAUUCUUGCCGAUACUUUGUGAGCGAUGGAUUUGGACACGAAACUGAAUCUGCGUCUAAAAAUAAAUGACUUGGUCAAAUUGAACAAAUGUCGGUGCAUCUCAGGUCUGUAAUGUGUUGCACCAUUUGUUUCGACCAAAUAUUUAUUUAACGUGUACCAAUAUCAUAUUAAUAUAUACAAUUUUGAUAAAGUCUCACUUUUAGCAAAUAACACACUAUAUUAAUAUUUUUUUAAAAUGCUUUUUUACAUGGACUGAUAUGAGAAACAUCAUACAGAGUAUAAAUACAAAUUUGUCGAUUUUUAUAUAUGUAUAACCUGUUGUAUUACUACUAGUAUCAAAUGUAUCAUAGAGGAUAGAAUAAAAUAAAUUCAAAAGCUA